RNAcentral lists this long non-coding RNA (419 nucleotides) under Salmo salar (Atlantic salmon). RNAcentral describes it as "lncRNA (ENSSSAG00000103329.1, ENSSSAG00075036931.1)". The record is from RNAcentral. Lineage: Eukaryota; Metazoa; Chordata; Actinopteri; Salmoniformes; Salmonidae.
CGAGGGAGAGGGUGCACGCUGAUUAAUUUUCCUUUCCUAUUGAACAUACAACUUUCCGUAUGAAAUAUUAUAGUUUAUUUACAUUUUGGAAUACCUGAGGAUGAAAUAGAAACAUUGUUUGACUUGUUUGGACGAAGUUUAGUGGUAGCUUUUUGGACUCCUUUGUCUGCAGGUUGAACGAGUGGAUUGCUGAAAUCGAUGGCUCCAACUAAACUGACUUUUUGGGAUAUAAAGAAGGAUUUUACCUAACAAAACGACCAUUCAUGUUGUAGCUGGGACCCUUGGAAUUGCAAACAGAGGAAGGUCUUCAAAACUGUGUGAGUUUGGAAAUCUCUGCAUCAACAUCUCUCCGGCCUGACACAACGAGACAGGUAAUGGAAUGACUUUUCCUGGACUCACCUAUACUCCCUCCACCUGGC